Molecule: long non-coding RNA, 1501 nt
Organism: Leopardus geoffroyi (Geoffroy's cat)
Lineage: Eukaryota; Metazoa; Chordata; Mammalia; Carnivora; Felidae
Exons: 4
Source: RefSeq, a predicted model, not a curated record
UUUUAUGGUUUGAGGUUUCACAUUUUUAACUGAGGUGUUACCAGCUUAAGAAGUGAGAUAUUUUAGAUGCUUCACUACCUGACAUUUCCAUAUCAAUCCAAAUUCUUAUACUUGUUUAUCAUUUCUGUGGACUUCAUUCUUCAACAGUGCUGCAUGUUUCAUAAGCAAGGACCAAAGAGACUUUGACCACAGGUGGUGAACAAGUAUACAAGAGGAUCAUAGAUACCUUCCUGCAGUGGUUCCAUCCACAGCAUCGCCAAAUUGAUGUUGUUAUUUCCCUAUUUUUGAAGCUCAUUGCAUCAUUGUAUCUCAAAGGGCACAAGUUAUAAAUAUAAAUAUAGAUACAAAUGUAAAUAUAUAGAUAUAAAUAUAAAUAUAAAUAUAUAAAUAUAAAUAUAAAUAUAAAUAUAAACAUAAAUCUCCCCAGGAAUAGAAGUGGUCUGCUUUUUGGCAAGUAAUGGUCAAGAAUGUUAAGUACUUCUUUGUUCUCUGACUAUAUCUUGAGCUUUUCUCUAUUGUUAUUUACUUCAUUGAUUUUUUUUUUUUCUCUAUGUUUUACUUUACAAGUGGGAAUGAGAUUUGCAUGUGGUAAAUGUAAUUAAUGCAACCCCAUGGACACCUUGGUCAUACCAAAGAUUAUAACCAGGCUAUCUCACAAACUGAGUACCUCCUAUGUGCCAGUUUGGAUACCAUUUGUAAAAUGCGUUGUUACGUCAUUUGAAUCAUGAACCCUCAGUUGUUAGAGUGGUUGGUCCAAAACAAUAGCCUCUUAAAACAUUUGUGUUACAUGCAAAUAGAUAUUCUGUAGUUUUAGUUUUUAUUCAACCUAGUAGAUCUCACUCUAGAACACGAUCAGAGCCUGACCAUAGUUGACCUCUUCCUUAGUACCCAAAUUUAAGACUUGGAUGCUGUCACAACUCUGGUUGUUUAAGGUAGAACCAGACUCUUUAACUGACAUUUUUAGCCUUGGCAAUGCCAUCCUGUAGAACACAUGGUUCUAUGAUUUUAUUGGUAUCACUGGAAUUUUGAAAUUGGAGUAAAGAACUCAAGGCAACCAAGAUAUUUCACUUUUAUUCGCAUUAUCCUGACUUUUAUUUGUUUUCUGUUUAAUCUAAAUAGGCUUAAUACAGAUGGCUGUGUUUAUUGGAAGUUUUAAUUGACUACUUCUAAAAUAUAAACUGUAUUGUAAUCAGGGAACUACUAUCUGCAUUGCCCAACUUGUCUUAGUAGACAGGUUUGACACAUGGCACACUGAAAUAGGGCCAAUAAUAGGAUUAUUAAACAGUUUAAAGCAAAAUUUGGUCAUUCAUCCUUCAUCUUUCAUUCCUACUUCCUAGGUGUAACAAGCAUUAAUCAGUUAUGCUACAGUUAAUAUUUCUAAGCUCAUACAGUUUAUGCACAAUUUAUUUUACAAAUAAGACAUUAUGGUUUUUGCAGCUAUAUUUUUUUAUUAAAUAUACUCUGGAUGUAUUUCUAACCCAAUAAAUGUAGUUUCUCUACA